CACCGCGGUUAGACGAGAGACCCUAGUUGAUAAUAUAACGGCGUAAAGGGUGGUUAGGGGUAAAACAAAAUAAAGCCAAAUGGCCCCUCGGCCGUCAUACGCUUCUAGAUGUCUGAAGUCCCCUUACGAAAGUAACUUUAAUUUAAUAUACCCGACUCCACGAAAGCUAAGAAA
This 174-nucleotide ribosomal RNA is filed under the name Enteromius viviparus. RNAcentral's name for it is "partial 12S rRNA". Lineage: Eukaryota; Metazoa; Chordata; Actinopteri; Cypriniformes; Cyprinidae. The record is from RNAcentral.